ACCCUUAAUCGUUUAUUUGGAAAUGAACAAAUUAUGGAAAACUCACACAACACGGCCAUGUUAUUACUCAUUUUACAAAAUAUAAAGAGCGAUAUUGUUCGUUUGAUUCAGGGAUUAACUUGUACUUGUAGGGAACGUUUUCUAAAAAAAUAAUUUUCAAGAAUAAAGAUAGUAUUCUUUCUGGUAUUACUUUGCAUUGUCACAAGUUGCCAAUCAUGUUGUAGAAAAGGAAAGAACACCGUUGUACCAUCAAAAACCUUUGUACCAUUCAAAACCGUCGUACUUCCAAAACAAAUUGAUUAUAGACAAAGGUGUAUAUCACAACCAGAUUGUUGCUGGGAUCCAUCGACGAACAGAUGCAUUUGUCCAGAUAGAAGCAGUAGUUACUCGAGAGGAAGAAGAGCGUCAAAAAAUAAGGUUCAACUGUCGAUAUUAAACUGUAACUGUAAAGGAUAUGAAGACGGUACACAUGGGCGUGGUUCCAGACCAUUCCGAAUAGUAUGCAAGAAAGCUUCAAACAAAGGAAAUCGGAAAGGCAAUGGGGAUUAUCCUAAGAAAGACCAAAAUGACUGUACAUAUACAGGAAAUCCACAUCCUUGUAGGGAAUACAACAAAAAACAGGUCAAAUUUUAUCAAGAACUCAUUGCCAGUAUUGCUCCAAACCAAUGUAGUAAUCUGAAUCUGCCGAAUGCGCCUUGUCCAAUAGGUCAAUUUAAAACUAGAAAGACAUGCAGUGAUAUUAUUAAUAUGUAGAAUAGUAAAUUUUAUACAGCACGAUCUUUAUUGUUUUCUGUAGUAUUCGAGAUUCAAUGUACUAAUAAAUAUUUUGAAAUACA
Mytilus californianus (California mussel) is the source of this 836-nucleotide long non-coding RNA. RefSeq lists it as uncharacterized. The transcript is spliced from 2 exons. The record is from RefSeq and is a predicted model, not a curated record. Lineage: Eukaryota; Metazoa; Mollusca; Bivalvia; Mytilida; Mytilidae.